Molecule: transfer RNA, 74 nt
Filed under: [Clostridium] symbiosum
Lineage: Bacteria; Bacillati; Bacillota; Clostridia; Lachnospirales; Lachnospiraceae
Also listed under: 5 other names
Description: tRNA-Cys
Rfam family: tRNA
About the family: Transfer RNA (tRNA) molecules are approximately 80 nucleotides in length. Their secondary structure includes four short double-helical elements and three loops (D, anti-codon, and T loops). Further hydrogen bonds mediate the characteristic L-shaped molecular structure. tRNAs have two regions of fundamental functional importance: the anti-codon, which is responsible for specific mRNA codon recognition, and the 3' end, to which the tRNAs corresponding amino acid is attached (by aminoacyl-tRNA synthetases). tRNAs cope with the degeneracy of the genetic code in two manners: having more than one tRNA (with a specific anti-codon) for a particular amino acid; and 'wobble' base-pairing, i.e. permitting non-standard base-pairing at the 3rd anti-codon position.
Source: RNAcentral
GGCGACGUAGCCAAGUGGUAAGGCACGGGUCUGCAACACCCUUAUCACCGGUCCGAAUCCGGUCGUCGCCUCUA